CGGAACGGGUGAGUAACGCGUGAGGAACCUGCCUCAAAGAGGGGGACAACAGUUGGAAACGACUGCUAAUACCGCAUAAGCCCACGGCUCGGCAUCGAGCAGAGGGAAAAGGAGUGAUCCGCUUUGGGAUGGCCUCGCGUCCGAUUAGCUGGUUGGUGAGGUAACGGCCCACCAAGGCGACGAUCGGUAGCCGGACUGAGAGGUUGAACGGCCACAUUGGGACUGAGACACGGCCCAG
Molecule: ribosomal RNA, 238 nt
Filed under: uncultured bacterium
Lineage: Bacteria
Description: partial 16S ribosomal RNA
Rfam family: Bacterial small subunit ribosomal RNA
Source: RNAcentral